CAGAAACAGGCAGCCUGACUAGAGAACAAACUACCAAUUAACGAGCGAGGAAACAGGGCCAGAGAAUUGGAACAAAAUACAAGGCUGCCUCUGAAAGCUCUUCCAGGAGUCAUGUGCAUUGCCCAAGCUACCCUGCCAAGUGAUGAGAAAGAUGCGGCCUAGUGAUCCUCAUCACCCUCAACCAGUAGACAGUCAAUGCCCAGAAGCAGAGCUGCUUUAGCUCAUUUACAAGUGACCAUAGACAAGAGUGAGGCCAGCCAAGACAAGAAGAACUGACCAUUUAAGCCCAGUUCAGAUCAACAGCCUGUAGAACUGUGAGCUAAGUAAAUGGCUCUUACUAUAGGCCACAAAGUUUUGGAGUGGAUUGUUAUGUGGUAAAAGAUAACUGAGAGAACACAUAAUUCUGGGAAUUAC
This 414-nucleotide long non-coding RNA is filed under the name Homo sapiens (human). RNAcentral's name for it is "HSALNT0405854". Lineage: Eukaryota; Metazoa; Chordata; Mammalia; Primates; Hominidae. The record is from RNAcentral.